UGAGGAACAUGACCUUCGGCGGGGGAGUAGCCGGCCCAACGGCCGGGUAAUACCGCGUACGACCCACAUGGGGACAUCCCUGAGUGGUGAAAGCAGCAAUGCGCCGAUGGAGUGCCUCGCGGCCUAUCAGCUAGUUGGUGAGGUAACGGCUCACCAAGGCGACGACGGGUAGCCGGCCUGAGAGGGCGAUCGGCCACACUGGGACUGAGACACGGCCCAGACUCCUACGGGAGCAG
Molecule: ribosomal RNA, 236 nt
Filed under: uncultured bacterium
Lineage: Bacteria
Description: partial 16S ribosomal RNA
Rfam family: Bacterial small subunit ribosomal RNA
Source: RNAcentral